RNAcentral lists this transfer RNA (72 nucleotides) under Camelus bactrianus (Bactrian camel). It matches the Rfam family "tRNA". From Rfam's summary of the family: Transfer RNA (tRNA) molecules are approximately 80 nucleotides in length. Lineage: Eukaryota; Metazoa; Chordata; Mammalia; Artiodactyla; Camelidae. RNAcentral also lists the same sequence under 2 other names. The record is from Rfam by way of RNAcentral.
GGGUGUAUAGCUCAGUGGUAGAGUUUAUGCUUAACAGGCACCAGGUCCUGGGUUCAAUCCCCAGUACCUCCU